CCUACGGGUGGCUGCAGUGGGGGAUAUUGCUCAAUGGGGGCAACCCUGAUGCAGCAACGCCGCGUGGAGGAUGAAGGUUUUCGGAUUGUAAACUCCUUUUGUUAGAGAAGAUAAUGACGGUAUCUGGCGAAUAAGCACCGGCUCACUCCGUGCCAGCAGCCGCGGUAAUCCGGAGGGUGCAAGCGUUAUUCGGAUGCACUGGGCGUAAAGAGCGCGUAGGCGGGAUAGUAAGCCAGAGGUGAAAUCCUAGGGCUCAACCACAGGACUGCUUUUGAAACUGUUAGGCUAGAGUAGGGGAGGGGUAGGCGGAAUUCGUGGUGUAGGGGUGAAAUGCGGAGAGAUUAAGAGGAAUACCGGUGGCGAAGGCGACCUGCUAGACUAUAACUGACGCUGAGGCGCGAAGGCGUGGGGAGCAAACAGGAUUAGAUACCCGAGUAGUC
Molecule: ribosomal RNA, 440 nt
Filed under: uncultured bacterium
Lineage: Bacteria
Description: partial 16S ribosomal RNA
Rfam family: Bacterial small subunit ribosomal RNA
Source: RNAcentral